RNAcentral lists this ribosomal RNA (418 nucleotides) under uncultured bacterium. RNAcentral describes it as "bacterial SSU rRNA". It matches the Rfam family "Bacterial small subunit ribosomal RNA", at positions 359 to 800 of the family's 1533-position model. The record is from RNAcentral.
GGUACUGCGGCGCAGACUGACGGAGCACGCCGCGUGAGGGAGGAAUGUCUGUGGAUUGUAAACCUCUUUUCUCUGGGAAGAAGAUCUGACGGUACCAGAGGAAUCAGCAUCGGCUAACUCCGUGCCAGCAGCCGCGGUAAGACGGAGGAUGCAAGCGUUAUCCGGAAUUAUUGGGCGUAAAGCGUCCGUAGGCGGUUACAUAAGUCAGUUGUUAAAGACUGCAGCUCAACUGUGGAAGAGCAACUGAAACUGUGUGACUAGAGUAUGGUAGGGGUAGAGGGAAUUCCUAGUGUAGCGGUGAAAUGCGUAGAUAUUAGGAAGAACACCAGUGGCGAAGGCGCUCUGCUGGGCCAAGACUGACGCUGAUGGACGAAAGCUAGGGGAGCGAAAGGGAUUAGAUACCCCCUGUAGUACAAAU